This 496-nucleotide ribosomal RNA is filed under the name uncultured bacterium. RNAcentral describes it as "partial 16S ribosomal RNA". It matches the Rfam family "Bacterial small subunit ribosomal RNA", at positions 29 to 507 of the family's 1533-position model. The record is from RNAcentral.
AUGAACGCUGGCGGCGUGCCUAAUACAUGCAAGUCGAGCGAACAGAUGAGGAGCUUGCUCCUCUGACGUUAGCGGCGGACGGGUGAGUAACACGUGGAUAACCUACCUAUAAGACUGGGAUAACUUCGGGAAACCGGAGCUAAUACCGGAUAAUAUAUUGAACCGCAUGGUUCAAUAGUGAAAGACGGUUUUGCUGUCACUUAUAGAUGGAUCCGCGCCGCAUUAGCUAGUUGGUAGGGUAACGGCUUACCAAGGCAACGAUGCGUAGCCGACCUGAGAGGGUGAUCGGCCACACUGGAACUGAGACACGGUCCAGACUCCUACGGGAGGCAGCAGUAGGGAAUCUUCCGCAAUGGGCGAAGGCCUGACGGAGCAACGCCGCGUGAGUGAUGAAGGUCUUCGGAUCGUAAAACUCUGUUAUUAGGGAAGAACAAAUGUGUAAGUAACUAUGCACGUCUUGACGGUACCUAAUCAGAAAGCCACGGCUAACUACGUG